RNAcentral lists this ribosomal RNA (509 nucleotides) under uncultured eukaryote. Its description in RNAcentral is "SSU rRNA". It matches the Rfam family "Eukaryotic small subunit ribosomal RNA", at positions 44 to 557 of the family's 1831-position model. The record is from RNAcentral.
UUAAGCCAUGCAUGUCUCAGUAUAAGCUUCUAUACGGCGAAACUGCGAAUGGCUCAUUAAAACAGUUAUAGUUUAUUUGGUGGUCAGCAAUUACAUGGAUAACCGUGGUAAUUCUAGAGCUAAUACAUGCGYCCAAACCCGACUUCGUGGAAGGGUUGUGUUUAUUAGAUACAGAACCAACCCAGGCUCCGCCUGGCCUUGAGGUGAUUCAUAAUAACCGAACGAAUCGCAUGGCUAUGCCGGCGAUAGACCAUUCAAGUUUCUGACCUAUCAGCUAUCGUCGGUAGGGUAUUGGCCUACCGUGGCCAUGACGGGUAACGGAGAAUUAGGGUUCGAUUCCGGAGAGGGAGCCUGAGAAACGGCUACCACAUCUAAGGAAGGCAGCAGGCGCGCAAAUUACCCAAUCCUGACGCAGGGAGGUAGUGACAAGAAAUAACAAUACAGGGCAUACAUGUCUUGUAAUUGGAAUGAGUAAACUUUAAAUCACUUUACGAGUAUCAAUUGGAGGG